This 591-nucleotide ribosomal RNA is filed under the name uncultured bacterium. Its description in RNAcentral is "bacterial SSU rRNA". It matches the Rfam family "Bacterial small subunit ribosomal RNA", at positions 338 to 948 of the family's 1533-position model. The record is from RNAcentral.
CCUACGGGAGGCAGCAGUGGGGAAUCUUGCACAAUGGAGGAAACUCUGAUGCAGCGAUGCCGCGUGAGUGAAGAAGGCCUUUGGGUUGUAAAGCUCUUUUGUAGGGGAAGAUAAUGACUGUACCCUAAGAAUAAGGUCCGGCUAACUUCGUGCCAGCAGCCGCGGUAAUACGAAGGGACCUAGCGUAGUUCGGAAUUACUGGGCGUAAAGCGCGCGUAGGCCGUUGAGUUAGUUAAUUGUGAAAUCCCAAAGCUUAACUUUGGAACUGCAAUUAAAACUGCUCGACUAGAGUUUGAUAGAGGAAAGCGGAAUACAUAGUGUAGAGGUGAAAUUCGUAGAUAUUAUGUAGAACACCAGUUGCGAAGGCGGCUUUCUGGAUCAACACUGACGCUGAGGCGCGAAAGUAUGGGUAGCAAAGAGGAUUAGAUACCCUCGUAGUCCAUACCAUAAACGAUGAUUGCUAGAUGUUGGAAAUUUAUUUCAGUAUCGCAGCUAACGCAUUAAGCAAUCCGCCUGGGGAUACGACCGNAAAGGUUAAAACCACGAAAGGUAUUGACGGCNGAGACGAGACGACGACGACGACGAGGAGAG